GUGCCCCUUUAACACUGACAUAGUGCCUUAAGAAGCUAACACAGAAGGGUAAAGGGACCCUCCAUAGAACCCAGAGAAGAGACUGAAACUCUUUGAAUCUUGUGUGAAGUCACAGCG
Cavia porcellus (domestic guinea pig) is the source of this 117-nucleotide small nucleolar RNA. Ensembl annotates it as small nucleolar RNA SNORA26. The record is from Ensembl. Lineage: Eukaryota; Metazoa; Chordata; Mammalia; Rodentia; Caviidae.